GGGGAUAAAUUAAUAAAAUAAAAAUAAUAAAAAAAUUUUUAUUAAAAAUAUAUAAAUGGGGGUUUAAGUAUUUUUAAAGAAAAAAUUAUUAAUUUUAUAAAGAAUUAGUAUUGUUAAAGAAUUUUGAAAUAACUGAAAAAUAAUGGGGGUAAAAGUAAAUUUUAUUUAUUGUAUCUUGUGUAUCAGAGUUUAUUAAUUAAAAUUUAUAUGUAAAAUAUUCUCGAAUUUAAAAGAGAUAAUUAAUUAAUAAAGUUAUUGUGGGAAAAAUAUUUUAAAUAAUUAAUUUGAAAUGAGAUGUUAAUCGUUUUUAAAGAUAUCUAGUUUUUUUAGAAAAAAAUUUAAUUUUAUUUUCUUAUAAAGAAAAAUUAAUUAAUUAAUUUUUCUUUAUAAGAAAAUUAAUAUUUUAAGGGAUAAGCUUUAAAAUAAAUAAUUAUAAUAAACAUAAAAUUAAAGUGAAAUUUUUAGAAUUUAUAUUGUUAAUAAAUUAUAAUUUAUUAUAAAUAAUUUCAUUUAUAAAAAAAUUUUAUUAAAAUUUAAAUUAUUAUAAAAUUAUAAUUUAAAAUAAAAAAAAAUUAAAAAUAAUGAUAAAAUUAGUAUAUAAAAAUAUAUUAUUUAAAAAUUAAUGUAAUAAAAUAUAUGAAAAAUAAUAAAAAGGAAUUCGGCAAAUUUUAUAUUCACUUGUUUAUCAAAAACAUGUCUUUUUGAGUGAUAAUUUAAAGUCUAAUCUGCCCACUGAUAAUUUAUUGAAGGGCUGCAGUAUUUUGACUGUACAAAGGUAGCAUAAUCAUUAGUCUCUUAAUUGGUGACUUGUAUGAAGGAUUGGAUGAGAUAUAAACUGUCUCUUAUUUAUUUGUAGAAUUUAAUUUUUUAGUCAAAAAGCUAAAAUAAAUUUAAAAGACGAGAAGACCCUAUAGAGUUUAAUAAAUAAAUUUAUAAUAAAUUAUUUAUAAAAAUAAUUAAAUUAAAAUAAAUUAAUUUAUUUUGUUGGGGUGAUAUGAAAAUAAAUUUAACUUUUUUUAAUAAAUAACAUAGAUAAGUGAAUAAAUGAUCCAAAAUUUUUGAUUAUAAGAAAAAAUUACCUUAGGGAUAACAGCGUAAUUUUUUUUUUUAGUUCAAAUAAAAAAAAGAGUUUGCGACCUCGAUGUUGGAUUAAGAUAAAAUUUAAAUGCAAAAGUUUAAAAUUUUGAUCUGUUCGAUCAUUAAAAUCUUACAUGAUCUGAGUUCAAACCGGUGUAAGCCAGGUUGGUUUCUAUCUUUAGAAAAAAUAAAUAUUUUAGUACGAAAGGAUCAAAUAUUAAAAUUAAAUUUUUAAAUAAGAAUAUUAUUAAUUAAUUUAAAAUUUAGAAAUUAAAUAAGAAUAA
Molecule: ribosomal RNA, 1361 nt
Filed under: Hypsopygia regina
Lineage: Eukaryota; Metazoa; Arthropoda; Insecta; Lepidoptera; Pyralidae
Description: 16S ribosomal RNA
Source: RNAcentral